This is a long non-coding RNA of Anguilla anguilla (European eel), 1239 nucleotides long. RefSeq lists it as uncharacterized. The record is from RefSeq and is a predicted model, not a curated record. Lineage: Eukaryota; Metazoa; Chordata; Actinopteri; Anguilliformes; Anguillidae. The transcript has 2 exons.
UACUUCUGAUUCAAGUAUCCCUGUUGUGGGCCUUUGCAUGUGAUGAGGUCACACGUUAAAACAAUUAAGACCACCUGAGCUGUGGUAGAGCUGCCUGUGUUGAAGCUGGGGGGAUACAUCACCAUGGUUAUUGCCUAAACGAGACAGGUGUCUCUGUCAGUAGUAACAGCCUGAGGGAAAGCAAGAGUCUUAGAGUAAAUUACUUUGGCCGUGUCUAACUCUGUCAGUUUUCCUAAUCUCCUCACCUUGCCUCAUUUUCUUUAUUAUUCCCAAACAAAUCGCAAGGCAACAAGGAAGGGGAAGAAGAGAACAGAAAGAACAGCACGUCAAACUGGAUAGGUCACAAGAAGCACCACUUGUUAACACUUAACCAUUUCAAAUUCCUCAUGGAUGAAUUGGAUUUGUCCACCACUGUGUGGCAAGUCUUUUUGGAUCCUGACAUCAGUGAAAUCGUGAAGUGAAGUCUUUGGGAUAAGGAUGCAUAUGCACACCCUUCACCAAAGGAAGCAGGCAAUAUCUGCGGAGUGCUGUGGAAUGCCAGCAGGACGGGACAUGUUCUGUGAGUUACCUGCAGUCAAGAUGGGUGCUGCUGGGAUCCCGCUCAGUCAGGCACUGCAGACCCAUUUUAUAGACCCUGAAUCUGGGGGGAGAUGUGACUGACUGACAACACAUGCUCAUAAAACCAAGAAGAAGGAAAAAAAUGUCCUGCUCCUCUUACCAGACUGGGUAAUAAAUAGCCUACGACUUGUGGGAAUGAUCUAUUGGUUUUGUGAUGGUUUAUUGUUGGACAUGGCUCUCGCUGCAAGUACAGUAUAGCGAUACACCCUAACCUUUAGAUGACCACGCUUGAUGCGUCCAGGGCAGGCAUGCUGUACGUUGACUCAGGGAUGAAAAGGCCCAUGGGCCGCCCUUAAACGCCUCUGCUCUGUGGAGCCAGCCUGCCUCAGGAGUGCGAAUGUGGAGGACUGUGUCACAUGACACUUGACUGCUGAAACAACUGCUGUUACGAUGGGCCAUUGCAGAGAUUGAUUUAAAACAAAUAGAAAGCUGUGCAAAAAAAAAAAUUGUUGCGCAAAACUCUGCUGAGACUGUUUGGGAGGCAGCAUGUUUUUAGUCUUCCUGUUUCACAGCAAGCUGUCCCGUAUUAAGAUUGUAAUCGCAAUUACUGCUAUUGAAGAACUCCACUCUAAUAAUGCCACAGUAAUCAGUACACAAUGAAUCACUCAUUAAAUCUUGCUU